RNAcentral lists this ribosomal RNA (468 nucleotides) under uncultured bacterium. Its description in RNAcentral is "partial 16S ribosomal RNA". It matches the Rfam family "Bacterial small subunit ribosomal RNA", at positions 28 to 507 of the family's 1533-position model. The record is from RNAcentral.
GACGAACGCUGGCGGCGUGCUUAACACAUGCAAGUCGAACGGAAAGGCCCUGCUUUUGUGGGGUGCUCGAGUGGCGAACGGGUGAGUAACACGUGAGUAACCUGCCCUUGACUUUGGGAUAACUUCAGGAAACUGGGGCUAAUACCGGAUAGGAGCUCCUGCUGCAUGGUGGGGGUUGGAAAGUUUCGGCGGUUGGGGAUGGACUCGCGGCUUAUCAGCUUGUUGGUGGGGUAGUGGCUUACCAAGGCUUGGACGGGUAGCCGGCCUGAGAGGGUGACCGGCCACAUUGGGACUGAGAUACGGCCCAGACUCCUACGGGAGGCAGCAGUGGGGAAUAUUGCACAAUGGGCGGAAGCCUGAUGCAGCAACGCCGCGUGCGGGAUGACGGCUUUCGGGUUGUAAACCGCUUUCGCCUGUGACGAAGCGUGAGUGACGGUAAUGGGUAAAGAAGCACCGGCUAACUACGUG